GGAUUGUGACUCAGUGGUAGAGCGUUCACCUAGUAUGUGUGAGGCCCUGGGUUCCAUCCUCAGCACCA
This 68-nucleotide transfer RNA is filed under the name Marmota monax (woodchuck). RNAcentral's name for it is "tRNA.Thr". The record is from RNAcentral. Lineage: Eukaryota; Metazoa; Chordata; Mammalia; Rodentia; Sciuridae.